This 477-nucleotide ribosomal RNA is filed under the name uncultured bacterium. RNAcentral describes it as "partial 16S ribosomal RNA". It matches the Rfam family "Bacterial small subunit ribosomal RNA", at positions 30 to 507 of the family's 1533-position model. The record is from RNAcentral.
AUUGAACGCUGGCGGCAUGCCUUACACAUGCAAGUCGAACGGUAACAGGUUAAGCUGACGAGUGGCGAACGGGUGAGUAAUGUAUCGGAACGUGCCCAGUCGUGGGGGAUAACUGCUCGAAAGAGCAGCUAAUACCACAUACGACCUGAGGGUGACAGCGGUGGAUCGCAAGGCCUCGCGCGAUUGGAGCGGCCGAGAUCAGAUUAGGUAGUUGGUGAGGUAAAGGCUCACCAAGCCGACGAUCGGUAGCUGGUCUGUGAGGACGACCAGCCACACUGGGACGGGACCGCGGCCCAGACUACUACGGGAGGCAGCAGUGGGGAAUUUUGGACAAUGGGCGCAAGCCUGAUCCAGCCAUGCCGCGUGCGGGAAGAAGGCCUUCGGGUUGUAAACCGCUUUUGUCAGGGAAGAAAAGGUUCUGGCUAAUACCUGGGACUCAUGACGGUACCUGAAGAAUAAGCACCGGCUAACUACGUG